ACAUGCAAGUCGAGCGGUAAGGCCCUUUCGGGGGUACACGAGCGGCGAACGGGUGAGUAACACGUGAGCAAUCUGCCCUUCACUUUGGGAUAACCACCGGAAACGGUGGCUAAUACCGAAUAUGACCAGUCUCUGCAUGGAGUGCUGGUGGAAAGUUCCGGCGGUGGAGGAUGAGCUCGCGGCCUAUCAGCUUGUUGGUGGGGUAAUGGCCUACCAAGGCGACGACGGGUAGCCGGCCUGAGAGGGUGACCGGCCACACUGGGACUGAGACACGGCCCAGACUCCUACGGGAGGCAGCAGUGGGGAAUAUUGGACAAUGGGCGAAAGCCUGAUCCAGCAACGCCGCGUGAGGGAUGACGGCCUUCGGGUUGUAAACCUCUUUCAGUAGGGACGAAGCUAACGUGACGGUACCUACAGAAGAAGCACCGGCCAACUACGUGCCAGCAGCCGCGGUAAUACGUAGGGUGCGAGCGUUGCCCGGAAUUAUUGGGCGUAAAGGGCUCGUAGGCGGUUUGUCGCGUCGGGAGUGAAAACUCGGGGCUUAACUCCGAGCCUGCUUCCGAUACGGGCAGACUAGAGGUAUGCAGGGGAGAACGGAAUUCCUGGUGUAGCGGUGAAAUGCGCAGAUAUCAGGAGGAACACCGGUGGCGAAGGCGGUUCUCUGGGCAUUACCUGACGCUGAGGAGCGAAAGUGUGGGGAGCGAACAGG
Molecule: ribosomal RNA, 709 nt
Filed under: uncultured Actinomycetes bacterium
Lineage: Bacteria; Bacillati; Actinomycetota; Actinomycetes
Description: bacterial SSU rRNA
Rfam family: Bacterial small subunit ribosomal RNA
Source: RNAcentral